GGGGAAUUAGCUCAGUGGUAGAGCGCUUGCUUAGCACUAUUGAUUGCAUGAGGCCGUGGGUUCAAUUCCCACAUUCUCCA
This 80-nucleotide transfer RNA is filed under the name Malassezia vespertilionis. It matches the Rfam family "tRNA". Rfam says of the family: Transfer RNA (tRNA) molecules are approximately 80 nucleotides in length. Their secondary structure includes four short double-helical elements and three loops (D, anti-codon, and T loops). Further hydrogen bonds mediate the characteristic L-shaped molecular structure. tRNAs have two regions of fundamental functional importance: the anti-codon, which is responsible for specific mRNA codon recognition, and the 3' end, to which the tRNAs corresponding amino acid is attached (by aminoacyl-tRNA synthetases). tRNAs cope with the degeneracy of the genetic code in two manners: having more than one tRNA (with a specific anti-codon) for a particular amino acid; and 'wobble' base-pairing, i.e. permitting non-standard base-pairing at the 3rd anti-codon position. The record is from Rfam by way of RNAcentral. Lineage: Eukaryota; Fungi; Basidiomycota; Malasseziomycetes; Malasseziales; Malasseziaceae.